ACCCUAUGAAUUUUUAAAAUUUUUAAUAAUAGUAAUUUAUUAUUAUUAAAAAUUUUAGCUGGGGCGGCUAAAAAAUAUAAUUAACUUUUUAAGAAUAAAACGAUCCACUAAUAAUGAUUACAUGUUAAAUA
RNAcentral lists this ribosomal RNA (131 nucleotides) under Rhipicephalus pusillus. RNAcentral's name for it is "partial large subunit ribosomal RNA". Lineage: Eukaryota; Metazoa; Arthropoda; Arachnida; Ixodida; Ixodidae. The record is from RNAcentral.